Molecule: ribosomal RNA, 465 nt
Filed under: Vreelandella stevensii
Lineage: Bacteria; Pseudomonadati; Pseudomonadota; Gammaproteobacteria; Oceanospirillales; Halomonadaceae
Description: partial 16S ribosomal RNA
Rfam family: Bacterial small subunit ribosomal RNA
Source: RNAcentral
CCUACGGGGGGCAGCAGUGGGGAAUAUUGGACAAUGGGGGGAACCCUGAUCCAGCCAUGCCGCGUGUGUGAAGAAGGCCCUCGGGUUGUAAAGCACUUUCAGUGAGGAAGAACGCCUGGUGGUUAAUACCCAUCGGGAAAGACAUCACUCACAGAAGAAGCACCGGCUAACUCCGUGCCAGCAGCCGCGGUAAUACGGAGGGUGCGAGCGUUAAUCGGAAUUACUGGGCGUAAAGCGCGCGUAGGUGGCUUGAUAAGCCGGUUGUGAAAGCCCCGGGCUCAACCUGGGAACGGCAUCCGGAACUGUCAAGCUAGAGUGCAGGAGAGGAAGGUAGAAUUCCCGGUGUAGCGGUGAAAUGCGUAGAGAUCGGGAGGAAUACCAGUGGCGAGGGCGGCCUUCUGGACUGACACUGACACUGAGGUGCGAAAGCGUGGGUAGCAAACAGGAUUAGAUACCCUGGUAGUC